This 82-nucleotide transfer RNA is filed under the name Smittium simulii. It matches the Rfam family "tRNA". From Rfam's summary of the family: Transfer RNA (tRNA) molecules are approximately 80 nucleotides in length. Their secondary structure includes four short double-helical elements and three loops (D, anti-codon, and T loops). The record is from Rfam by way of RNAcentral. Lineage: Eukaryota; Fungi; Kickxellomycota; Harpellomycetes; Harpellales; Legeriomycetaceae.
GUUGGUUUGUCCGAGUGGUUAAGGAGACAGAUUAGAAAUCUGUUGGGCUCUGCCCGCACAGGUUCAAAUCCUGUAGCCGACG